AAGUAUGGGCACAAAGCGAAGUUUGAUGUACCAGUUUCCCGCUUCUUCGACUUUCCCUCCCGUAAUUGGCAAGGCAGUCAUUCUUCAGUCUCGGAGCACGAUCUUCUCUGUCAAAACGAUUUUCCGCUCCACAAUCUGAAACUGAACUGGAAACGAUUUACAAUCGCUUCAAUCUGCAAGCUCUGUACCACAGGCGUCUCUGAAAAUGGACAACACUGCGUCAGAUUCUGCAGUUGCUCUCGAGUUAUCUGGUUUUUGCCUGCGUGAGAACUCUGUGAAGGAUUUCUGAAGUCUUUCAGAGUUGAGGGCGUUGCUGGAGGAGGAACUGCUUAUGGAUGGAAUAAUGGAAGCUUAAAUACGGCAGAGCUAGUAGAUGUGUGGUGCAUAUCAAGCACAGAAAACGUUGGACCUCAGGAAAUGCCUAGGCGUUUAGAACCCCUAGAGAAAUGAGAGGGAAAGUGUUCAAAUUGCUAUGCGCCCCAAAUUAUCUUGGGGAGGUUCUGGCGUGGCUGGAAUUUUGCAGGCUUUUUCUGGUGAUCUAUGCUCCACAUCUGGUGAUCGGUUAGUGUCACUAGACAAACAAAGUUUCAUAUGUUGUUCCCCUAAUAAGCAUGCAGGUGUGGUUGUGUGCAGGCUAGUUGUUGGACAAUCAUUGAGGUCAGUCACCCAAAAUACAUACCCAUGCUAUACUAUUGUAAUAUGUUGGGAAUAAUAUUCAUUUUAGAGAUCUAACAACUAUUUUGAAGGUAGGCUUUGCAAUUAUAUUGUAUCUGUAAAACUUCUGACUGUAAAUAGUUGUUGAAUUUGAAAAAAAUCAGUGUCGAACUUUUUUAUGUUUAGAAUUGAAUUUCAGUACCUGUAGUACGGUGAUCAAAUGAUUAGUUUGAAUGAUUUCUACGGAUAAAUCUAUUAGACUGAUUGCCCAGAACUUUACUACAGUUUGUUGCUAUUCUUUCAAAAAUCUGACCACUUCAAGCUUUCUAUGGCAGCCGUUGAAUAUGGAACAUUAUGAUUCUGUUCGCAGUAUGUCUAGUGAGAUUCGUGAUUAUGCUCCAGAUGCUCGUGUAUUGACACAUACUACUCUGGUAUGAGACACAAUCUUGAUUUUGUUUGUUCUAUUCAUUCUACUGCAAACUCAGACUCUGGUUACACAACUUUCCCUGCUUGAUAAAUAAUUUGCAUGGCAUUAGCUGGUUU
Cucurbita moschata (crookneck pumpkin) is the source of this 1197-nucleotide long non-coding RNA. RefSeq lists it as uncharacterized. The record is from RefSeq and is a predicted model, not a curated record. NCBI's taxonomy places the organism in Eukaryota, Viridiplantae, Streptophyta, Magnoliopsida, Cucurbitales, Cucurbitaceae. The transcript is spliced from 3 exons.